GAUCAUGGCUCAGGAAGAACGCUAGCUACAGGCUUAACACAUGCAAGUCGAGGGGCAGCAUGGUCUUAGCUUGCUAAGGCCGAUGGCGACCGGCGCACGGGUGAGUAACACGUAUCCAACCUGCCGUCUGCUCUUGGACAGCCUUCUGAAAGGAAGAUUAAUACAAGAUGGCAUCAUGAGUCCGCAUGUUCACAUGAUUAAAGGUAUUCCGGUAGACGAUGGGGA
This 225-nucleotide ribosomal RNA is filed under the name uncultured bacterium. RNAcentral describes it as "partial 16S ribosomal RNA". It matches the Rfam family "Bacterial small subunit ribosomal RNA", at positions 15 to 231 of the family's 1533-position model. The record is from RNAcentral.